RNAcentral lists this ribosomal RNA (253 nucleotides) under uncultured bacterium. RNAcentral describes it as "partial 16S ribosomal RNA". It matches the Rfam family "Bacterial small subunit ribosomal RNA", at positions 524 to 776 of the family's 1533-position model. The record is from RNAcentral.
UACAGAGGGGGCGAGCGUUGUUCGGAAUUACUGGGCGUAAAGGGCGCGUAGGCGGCCUGUUAAGUCGGACGUGAAAUCCCUCGGCUCAACCGGGGAACUGCGUCCGAUACUGGCGGGCUUGAAUUCGGGAGAGGGAUGUGGAAUUCCAGGUGUAGCGGUGAAAUGCGCAGAUAUCAGGAGGAACACCUAUUGCGAAGGCAGCUCGCUGGGACGUUACUGACGCUGAGACGCGAAAGCGUGGGGAGCAAACAGG